GGCUUGUGUCCUGUGAUAACUCAGACAAUAUGUAGUAUAUGUUGAGAUAUAUAUAUGUGGAUUGGCUAGCCCGCGUACACCUCGGAGGCCAUGGCUGACCUCGACCGCCUCGUCGCCGGCAACCUCGAGGCCUUCUUCGCCGGCGCGCCGCUGCUGACACCCGUCCUCGAGGUCUUCGGCUGAUCGUGCGGAGGUCGUCAACAAAAUUUGAGCUUGGAAUUGAAAGGGUCGUGAGUCUUUGUACGGUGGGUUGGGAAGAGGAAAAACUCGUAGAAUGUAAAAUUUUCUGCCGGAGUUCUUCAGAUCGUGACCUUCCUGCGAGCUGAAAUGUUUGGAUCACUGCCAUUAAUUUCCAGCGCGAUGUCGUCUUCUUACACAGCCGUGUGUCCUCCACCACACACCGUGUCUGCUCUGGUGGCUUUACUCUCUCUGUCCCUCCAAACGUUUCAAGCCAGACAAAUUGCUUCUCGCCGGACUGAUUGCCAAGAUCAUAAUGGAGAACAUGACGCCACCGCCACCGACCAACGACGAGAGGCCGCUGGUGCUCCUGGCGCAGCCGCUCUUCCCGGACUUCGCCGCCGCGCUCGCCGGCCGCUUCCGGUUCGCUCUGGCCGCUGACGCGGACGCGGGUGACACGGCCGAGGGAAGGGUGCUGCUCGUGGGGGUAAAGCCUGUUACGGACGAGCACCUGGCCGUGUUCCCGGCGCUCGAGCUCGUGGCGGGCAUCUCUGUGGGCGUCGACCACGUCGAUCUUGCCGCCUGCCGGCGCCGUGGGCUCAGCGUGACCAACGCUGGUGCCGCGUUCGCCAUCGACUCGGCCGACUACGCCGUCGGUCUCGUCAUCGCCGCGGUCCGAAGGGUGGCUGCUGCCGAGGCGUAUGUCCGCGGCGGCAGGUGGCCGGCCGACGGGGAUUACCCUCUCACCACCAAGUAGAAGCUGUCAAAUUGAGCGGAAUCAGUGGCGAGGGAUGCUGGAUGUUCAAAAGACUGCAUCCUCCAGAACAAUAUAUGGAAGGACAUCAGAUUGUCUUCACAAGCACGGAUGUGCAAAAUGCCUUUGCAGUACAGCGACAUCCAUUCACUACACAACUGUACAGGCUCCAUAAGACGGGGAUUAGCCAUCAGGCAAGGCUGAGUAGACAACCCGGCGGGCUCUGGGAUUAUUUGAUCACCACCACGGUAUGGUUCUGGAGUGAUUGCAUUUAUUCAUUAAAGAUCUUGAACUUCACACUCCUAAUUGGUUCAUCACAUAAGGAACCUUCUCUAGCACCCCACUGAAACCUGUGGUUAGGGCAAUAAAUAAAAUGGCUCUGACAAAGAUUCUGAAUGAAUUUUGGAUCAACAGAACAGCGGAGUACCCUAAUCUUGGACAAUAUAUGACUGCAUUCAGCAAGUUCUUAUCCGCCUCUACCGAAAGAGUCAUACAGUAUAAUGUUAGGUACCUCUAUGUCAAAGUAAGAUAUGUUCAGUCCACAAAAUGGUGAGAUUAUGUAAUACGGAUGAAACUAUAAACUAUUGAUCUGGUGGAAAUUUUGUGGCAAAAUAGGUCAAAAGAUACCUGAAAUCUAUUUGAAACUACUAACAUCAUCCUUCUGGUGAUUAAUGCCAUGAUCGUUCUUAUUUCUUUUAGCUCCUUCUGCUGAGCUUUGGUCAGCAUGGCAAGCCACACAAAGGUCCUCACAUUCUCUAGUGUAAAUUCUCCUCCCAGAAACAAGAAAAAAAAAACAUAGAAAAUAUAAACGUACUGUACUUCCUCUUUUAUAUACAUGUAUUAUGUGGUAUGUAUCAGUAUGCCAUGAAUUUCCAUCUUUUGGCUCAUGCACAAGCUUUUCUAGGAUGUGGUCCAGUAAAGUAUUAAAGAAGAUUAGAAGACAAACAAUCCACAUGAAACAAUGAUAACAACCAUUUCAGUUUUCA
Non-coding RNA from Lolium perenne, 1917 nucleotides. NCBI's taxonomy places the organism in Eukaryota, Viridiplantae, Streptophyta, Magnoliopsida, Poales, Poaceae. The record is from RefSeq and is a predicted model, not a curated record.